UGGGGAAUAUUGGGCAAUGGGGGCAACCCUGACCCAGCGACGCCGCGUGGGGGGAGACGGCCUUCGGGUUGUAAACCUCUUUUGUACGGGAAGAAGGAAGUGACGGUACUGUACGAAUAAGUCCCGGCUAACUACGUGCCAGCAGCCGCGGUAAUACGUAGGGGACGAGCGUUGUCCGGAAUUACUGGGCGUAAAGGGCGCGCAGGCUGUGCUGCAAGUCAGCUGUUAAAUGUCUGGGCUUAACCCGGGCAUGCGGUUGAGACUGCGGUGCUGGAGUGCUGUAGAGGCAAGUGGAAUUCCCAGUGUAGCGGUGAAAUGCGUAGAUAUUGGGAAGAACACCGGUUGCGAAGGCGACUUGCUGGGCAGCAACUGACGCUGAGGCGCGAAAGCCAGGGGAGCAAACG
This 404-nucleotide ribosomal RNA is filed under the name uncultured bacterium. Its description in RNAcentral is "bacterial SSU rRNA". It matches the Rfam family "Bacterial small subunit ribosomal RNA", at positions 355 to 774 of the family's 1533-position model. The record is from RNAcentral.